RNAcentral lists this ribosomal RNA (253 nucleotides) under uncultured bacterium. Its description in RNAcentral is "partial 16S ribosomal RNA". It matches the Rfam family "Bacterial small subunit ribosomal RNA", at positions 524 to 776 of the family's 1533-position model. The record is from RNAcentral.
AACGUAGGAGGCAAGCGUUAUCCGGAGUUACUGGGCGUAAAGCGCAUGUAGGCGGUUGGACAAGUGGUGUGUGAAAGCGCCCGGCUAAACUGGGCGAGGACACAUCAGACUGUUCGGCUAGAGGGGGCUAGAGGGGCGCAGAAUUCGGGGUGUAGCGGUGAAAUGUGUAGAGAUCCCGAGGAAUACCAGUGGUGAAGACGGCGCCCUGGGGCCUUACUGACGCUGAGAUGCGAAAGCGUGGGGAGCGAACGGG